CUGCACUGGUGGCAAUUAGCGGGGAGAGCAGUGGGGCAGGUCGAUGUCCUGGAGAGAGCUCGCUGUCCCCUGGGAGCCCCUCCGGAGCAGGAGCAGAGCUGCUGGCAUUGCUGUCCCCUGGAAUUCCCUCCGGAGCAGGAGCAGAGCUGCUGGCAUUGCUGUCCCGUGGAAUUCCCUCCGGAGCAGGAGCAGGGCUGCUGGCAUUGCUGUCCCCUGGAAUUCCCUCCGGAGCAGGAGCAGGGCUGCUGGCAUUGCUGUCCCCUGGAAUUCCCUCCGGAGCAGGAGCAGGGCUGCUGGCUCUCACUGUCCUGUGGAAUUCCCUCCGGAGCAGGAGCAGAGCUGCUGGCUCUCACUGUCCCAUGGAAUUCCCUCCGGAGCAGGAGCAGGGCUGCUGGCUCUCACUGUCCUGUGGAAUUCCCUCCGGAGCAGGAGCAGAGCUGCUGGCUCUCACUGUCCCAUGGAAUUCAUUCGUAGCAGGGCUGCNNNNNNNNNNUGUCCCAUGGAAUUCAUUCGUAGCAGGGCUGCUGGCUCUCACUGUCCUGUGGAAUUCCCUCUGGAGCAGAGCUGCUGGCAGUCACUGUCCCGUGGAAUUCCCUCCGGAGCAGGAGCAGGGCUGCUGGCUCUCACUGUCCCGUGGAAUUCCCUCCGGAGCAGAGCUGCUGGCUCUGUUCUGCUGGCUCACGCCAGGAGUGACUCACUUGCUUCAACUUCCCAAACCGCUGAGGGUCCCAGAGCUCACGCAGCACAGGCUGGAAACAGGAAGGUCCGAAGAGAAAACAGAUUUCACACAAACUGCAGGACAGAUUGACACCCAGGUGCCCCGAGCAGCGGGGCUGCCCCUGCAUCCCUGGCAGUGCCCCUGGCCAGGCUCGGGGCAGAGGGAGCUGGUGGAUGUGGAUGAGCUUUCUCCGUGCUUUCUCGGCUGCUGGAAGCUUUCAGGACCCCCAAGGGGUCUGGGGUGGGUGACAGAUCCCGUGGGUCCUCCCAGGCUCAGUGGGUGUUCCCAGGGUGAUGGGAAUCUGCCUGGCCAGCUUUAAUGAAGAUAUCCCUCAUCUUGGGGAUCUAAUUUACUGACUGUCACUGUUAAUGAAAUCUCUCCGAGUAAAACUCGGGCUUUGACACUCCCACGGACAGAGACAGAAUCCAUUUCAGGUGAGCACAGAAAUUCAGCCUGUGAGGUACCUGUGACUGUCA
RNAcentral lists this long non-coding RNA (1194 nucleotides) under Chloebia gouldiae (Gouldian finch). RNAcentral describes it as "Erythrura gouldiae (Gouldian finch) lncRNA (ENSEGOG00005012161.1)". The record is from RNAcentral. Lineage: Eukaryota; Metazoa; Chordata; Aves; Passeriformes; Passeridae.